RNAcentral lists this small nuclear RNA (104 nucleotides) under Catagonus wagneri (Chacoan peccary). Lineage: Eukaryota; Metazoa; Chordata; Mammalia; Artiodactyla; Tayassuidae. The record is from RNAcentral.
GUACCUGCUUCGCAGUUCAUAGGCUAAAAUUGGAAUGAUACAGAGAAGAUUAGCAUGGCCCCUACGCAAGGUUGACAUAAAUUCAUGAAGCAUUCUAUACUUUU